RNAcentral lists this ribosomal RNA (301 nucleotides) under uncultured bacterium. Its description in RNAcentral is "partial 16S ribosomal RNA". It matches the Rfam family "Bacterial small subunit ribosomal RNA", at positions 509 to 807 of the family's 1533-position model. The record is from RNAcentral.
CAGCCGCCGCGGGAAUACGGAAGGUCCAGGCGUUAUCCGGAUUUAUUGGGUUUAAAGGGAGUGUAGGCGGUCUGUUAAGCGUGUUGUGAAAUUUAGGUGCUCAACAUCUAACUUGCAGCGCGAACUGGCGGACUUGAGUGCACGCAACGUAUGCGGAAUUCAUGGUGUAGCGGUGAAAUGCUUAGAUAUCAUGACGAACUCCGAUUGCGAAGGUAGCGUACGGGAGUGUUACUGACGCUUAAGCUCGAAGGUGUGGGUAUCGAACAGGAUUAGAUACCCCCGUAGUCCCUGUCUCUUAUAC